GAACGCUGGCGGUAGGCCUAACACAUGCAAGUCGAACGGCAGCACAGUAAGAGCUUGCUCUUACGGGUGGCGAGUGGCGGACGGGUGAGGAAUACAUCGGAAUCUACUUUUUCGUGGGGGAUAACGUAGGAAACUUACGCUAAUACCGCAUACGACCUACGGGUGAAAAAGCAGGGGAUCUUCGGACCUUGCGCGAUUGAAUGAGCCGAUGUCGGAUUAGCUAGGUUGGCGGGUAAAGGCCCCACCCAAGGCGACGAUCCGUAGCUGGUCUGAGAGGAUGAUCAGCCACACUGGAACUGAGACACGGUCCAGACUCCUACGGGAGGCAGCAGUGGGGAAUAUUGGACAAUGGGCGCAAGCCUGAUCCAGCCAUACCGCGUGGGUGAAGAAGGCCUUCGGGUUGUAAAGCCCCUUUUGUUGGGAAAGAAAUCCAGCCGGCUAAUACCUGGUUGGGAUGACGGUACCCAAAGAAUAAGCACCGGGCUAACUUCGUGCCCAGCAGCCGCGGGUAAAUA
This 515-nucleotide ribosomal RNA is filed under the name uncultured Stenotrophomonas sp. RNAcentral describes it as "bacterial SSU rRNA". It matches the Rfam family "Bacterial small subunit ribosomal RNA", at positions 31 to 525 of the family's 1533-position model. Lineage: Bacteria; Pseudomonadati; Pseudomonadota; Gammaproteobacteria; Lysobacterales; Lysobacteraceae. The record is from RNAcentral.